GUUUGUUUAGGUUUUUUUUUCUCCUAACAUCCAUUCAUAUUUCAAGGUACUGGAAGACAAAAUAUUUUGAUGGCCAUCUUUGCAAAAUAUAUCCCUGAAUGAAUGAGGAAGUAGUAAGUUUAGUUAGUAUUAUAUAAAAAAGUGAAGGCAGUGCAGUGAGCUUUGUUUUCCAUUUUUACCUGUUAUAGAUGUAAAUAAUUCAAACACAUAAGCAUGGAAAGAAGUUGACAGUUUGAAACUGUGACUGCACGAGUCUCGUACAAUAAUGUUAAAGUUUCCUGUGUGCUUUGAUUUGACAUUCUUUAGAAAAAGGUUGUUUUUGCUGAAGUAUAAAUCAAUUAAAAGCUAAUGCUGUUUUUCACUGGGCACCCAUGCUAAGCUACAAUGUUUGUGUAUUUCAUGUGUAUGCUUAUGUAAUUAAGCAUCCACUAGUUUCUUUCUCUUUAGGAAAUACUUAUGCAAAUCAGCACUCCAUAUAUGAAGAGUUAAGAUCAUAUCAUCUCUUGUUUAAGCUAAUCCAAAAGUAAAUGAGGAACUUAGGAAAAGAUUGCCAACUCCAAAUCAACACAGUUACACAGAAUUGAAAAAGAAGCAUACAGCUUCAUUUGAUGGGUUCUUGCAAGGAACUCAGUGUUCUGCGAUAUGAGCUCUGAAAUCUUCAAGCACAAACUGGACUCAAUGCCAGGUCAAACAAGUUCAGGAGAAGAAAUGGAGAACUGGUCAAAAGCAAUAAGGAGUGCUGUUUACCUGGGAAAGAAAGAAGACCUGGAUAUUGCAUGGGCAUGUAUGCAGAAGAAUCUACAUGAUAUGCAGAGAGGCAGAGUCCUCUUCACGCACAUGGCUCAAUUGAUUAGUGUCGGAAUUCCAUGUGUGCUGUGCUUCCAGCAUUGAACUCGCUGUGUGCUGGCUGUCAGAGAUCCCCUUGCAAAGUGGCAAGGGUAGUUGCAGGUUUCUCUGCACAGUAUAGGAGGUAGAAGAGAGGUUCAGAGGAUGAUCUUGCAUGAGUCAAACAUUGGAAGAGUGGCUAGUAACUGUUGAGCAACACUAAGUAUGGAAGAUGAAGAAAACAUUUUGCAUGGAAAAAGAGGGAAUAGUGUGCCGUGACUUUGAAGAUAAAAAGGAGCUAAUGAUAACUGAAAAAUCAUCAAAUACUGUCUGGUCUUUCCUGUAAAUAUAAUCACCCUUUCACGUGUAUAAAUUCUCAUCUGUCCUUUUUCCAUCCCAUUUUUUUCCUUGUACAUUUUGAAUGGUUAAAUACAGUGCAUUUCUCGCCAGGCUGCAUGCAGAAAGACUCCUCAUCAG
This 1302-nucleotide long non-coding RNA is filed under the name Aquila chrysaetos chrysaetos. RNAcentral's name for it is "lncRNA (ENSACCG00020003223.1)". Lineage: Eukaryota; Metazoa; Chordata; Aves; Accipitriformes; Accipitridae. The record is from RNAcentral.